GUGCCAGCCGCCGCGGUAAUACGGAGGGUGCAAGCGUUGUCCGGAAUUACUGGGCGUAAAGCGCGCGUAGGCGGUUUGUUAAGCCAGAUGUGAAAGCCCUGGGCUCAACCUAGGAACGGCAUCUGGAACUGGCAAGCUAGAGUACAGUAGAGGAAGGUAGAAUUCCACGUGUAGCGGUGAAAUGCGUAGAUAUGUGGAGGAAUACCAGUGGCGAAGGCGGCCUUCUGGACUGAUACUGACGCUGAGGUGCGAAAGCGUGGGGAGCAAACAGGAUUAGAAACCCGGGUAGUCC
RNAcentral lists this ribosomal RNA (292 nucleotides) under uncultured bacterium. RNAcentral describes it as "partial 16S ribosomal RNA". It matches the Rfam family "Bacterial small subunit ribosomal RNA", at positions 505 to 796 of the family's 1533-position model. The record is from RNAcentral.